GAGCUCAGAGCAGCAAGGGUCUCCUUUGUGAGACCCAGAACCCUUAUUUCAUAAGAAAGUUUCAAUUGUUUUGUUUUUCAAACAAUGGGUCAGAGUUAAAAGCCAAAGAAGGAGCGAAGCUUGUCAGUUGCUGGAAAAUGGGGAUUUGGGUUGGUGUAUUUGAGUUGGGUUGAAGAACCCCAUAUCUGCGCAGAUGCCUUACCCCCAAUUUUCGCAGUGAAAUCGACAUUAUACGGUGAUGCGCUGGAGCUAGUGGCGGAAAAUUCAAUUCUUGGCACGUUUAGUAGCUGAAAGAGCCUGAUCUGAAGGUGUUGGAAGCCUCUUGGGUACAUGCCUCUGUCUCAAACCUCUGUCAGCACCGUCACUAACGUCCACCUGCAUCCAUGAUGGUCCUCGAUCUCGCAGCACCAAUGCCGUCCGAUAUCAUCCAAAGGUACUCAUAUUGGUGCUCGCUGUGUAAGGUCUGCGGAUCCAAGAGAGAUUCAAGGGAAAGGGCAAUAAACAUACAAGCUCGAAGGAAAAAAAAAAA
This is a non-coding RNA of Prunus mume (Japanese apricot), 529 nucleotides long. The record is from RefSeq and is a predicted model, not a curated record. Lineage: Eukaryota; Viridiplantae; Streptophyta; Magnoliopsida; Rosales; Rosaceae.